RNAcentral lists this ribosomal RNA (253 nucleotides) under uncultured bacterium. RNAcentral's name for it is "partial 16S ribosomal RNA". It matches the Rfam family "Bacterial small subunit ribosomal RNA", at positions 524 to 776 of the family's 1533-position model. The record is from RNAcentral.
UACGGAGGAUCCAAGCGUUAUCCGGAAUCAUUGGGUUUAAAGGGUCCGUAGGCGGUUUUAUAAGUCAGUGGUGAAAUCCGGCAGCUCAACUGUCGCACUGCCAUUGAUACUGUAGAACUUGAAUUAUUGUGAAGUAACUAGAAUAUGUAGUGUAGCGGUGAAAUGCUUAGAUAUUACAUGGAAGACCCAUUGCGAAGGCAGGUUACUAACAAUAUAUUGACGCUGAUGGACGAAAGCGUGGGGAGCGAACAGG